RNAcentral lists this ribosomal RNA (253 nucleotides) under uncultured bacterium. RNAcentral describes it as "partial 16S ribosomal RNA". It matches the Rfam family "Bacterial small subunit ribosomal RNA", at positions 524 to 776 of the family's 1533-position model. The record is from RNAcentral.
UACGAAGGGGGCUAGCGUUGUUCGGAAUCACUGGGCGUAAAGGGCGCGUAGGCGGCUUUGUAAGUCGGGGGUGAAAGCCUGUGGCUCAACCACAGAAUUGCCUUCGAUACUGCAUGGCUUGAGACCGGAAGAGGUAAGUGGAACUGCGAGUGUAGAGGUGAAAUUCGUAGAUAUUCGCAAGAACACCAGUGGCGAAGGCGGCUUACUGGUCCGGUUCUGACGCUGAGGCGCGAAAGCGUGGGUAGCGAACAGG